RNAcentral lists this ribosomal RNA (148 nucleotides) under Mycoplasma wenyonii. RNAcentral describes it as "partial 16S ribosomal RNA". It matches the Rfam family "Bacterial small subunit ribosomal RNA", at positions 414 to 555 of the family's 1533-position model. The record is from RNAcentral. Lineage: Bacteria; Bacillati; Mycoplasmatota; Mollicutes; Mycoplasmatales; Mycoplasmataceae.
GUCUUCUGAUUGUAAAGUUCUUUUAUUUAGGAAAAAAAGCGCGCUAGGAAAUGAGCGCGCCUUGAUGGUACUAAUUGAAUAAGUGACAGCUAACUAUGUGCCAGCAGCUGCGGUAAAACAUAGGUCACGAGCAUUAUCCGGAUUUAUU